Molecule: long non-coding RNA, 320 nt
Filed under: Anolis carolinensis (green anole)
Lineage: Eukaryota; Metazoa; Chordata; Lepidosauria; Squamata; Anolidae
Description: lncRNA (ENSACAG00000041322.1)
Source: RNAcentral
GGUCUAAAAUCAAUGCAGUUUGGUUCACUGCUAGUGAAUCCUGGGAGUUAUAGUUUCCCAAGGUCUGCCCAGUGUGAUUUGACAGCAUCCGGAAGAUUUUGAACCGACCUCCGAUCCAUCUCCUGGUGAGGGUGAAACUAGAAACCAAGCCGAAGAAAAAUGAAGACAGGGUGCUGGUAAGGAGAUUCCUGGGAAUUGCUAAUAUUAUUAUUAUUAUCAUCAUCAUUGGUGCUGGUAAGGAGAUUCCUGGGAAUUAUUAUUAACAUUGGGUUGCUAUGAGUUUUCCGGGCUGUCUGGCCAUGUUCCAGAAGCAUGCUCUC